UCUGCACCACCUCGUCACUUGAAGUGACGAGCCAAAGAGGCCAAAAAAUUUCGCUCAGCCCCUCGUCAUUCCAUUUGCCGAGCGCAUAUUGCAAAAAAGCUAUUACCACCCCCUCGUCACUUGGAGUGACGAGGCCAAACUUAAAAAGGGGGUACUCUGGGAAUAUUUUUUCAAAAUGGGGUAUAGUGGGAAAAAAAUUUCAAAAUGGGGGCAAGGCAGGAAAAUUCUCCC
RNAcentral lists this long non-coding RNA (231 nucleotides) under Lathyrus oleraceus (garden pea). RNAcentral's name for it is "Pisum sativum (pea) long non-coding RNA (PSAT_LNC024837)". The record is from RNAcentral. Lineage: Eukaryota; Viridiplantae; Streptophyta; Magnoliopsida; Fabales; Fabaceae.